Molecule: unclassified non-coding RNA, 1132 nt
Filed under: Hevea brasiliensis (rubber tree)
Lineage: Eukaryota; Viridiplantae; Streptophyta; Magnoliopsida; Malpighiales; Euphorbiaceae
Source: RNAcentral
AGAUCCAUGUUUAUCAUAAUCUGCUGGAUGAAGUUUAUCUGCAGCUCGUGCAUCUAUUAACCAUUCUUUCUCCGAUGAACGAGCAUCAGCACAUUCAGUAUCUCUACCGUCAAUUUCACCUUUCCGGCGUUUGUUCAGUCUAUCAAGCUCUUCUGCGGGAAUAGAUCUCUUCUGUACUUUUUCAUUAGCUUUAGAAGCAUCUUGUCUAGGCGAAUGAACCAGACGCAAUGUGGACUCCUUAUGCACAUCAGAACUUUCAGUGACAUCAUCUUUUCCAGCAGAAACCCUCAGAUCAGCAGAUUUAGUAGUUGUAUGUUCAGCAUUAGAUUCGUUUGAAGGAUCUAACAAUCUCGUCAAUGGAGCUGCACCUUUAGGUGCAGCAGAAAACAUGCUACCGUUCCCUGAAACUGUAGUAGAAACAUUAACACUCCCACUUGCUCUGCUCUCAGAAGGAUAACUAACAUCACCAGAAGCAGCUCCAGAUGCUCUUCCAACAGUUUUCCCAGAUUUUUCAUCUUUUGCAAUAUCAUGUUUUUGUUGCUUUGACAGAGAUCCAACCGGAGUAGAUCGCUUGCCUGUGCCUCUUCCCUCCUGCUCGCCAGACAUCUUAGAAGCAGCUUUUAUGGUACUCUCUUCCAAUGGUCUACACAUAGAGUUUUGACUUGGAGUAUCAGACUGCAGGGUAGCAGAUGGCAUAGAUUGCACAUCCAGUCCAUUAAUUGAUUGACUGCCCUUAUGUUUUGCCUGACCUAAAUCAGGCUUCGGCAUAGAACUGUCCGGCCUAUCCAACUUUCCAUCAACUACUCUUCCUGCCACCACGGUUCUUCCAAUAGAAGGCUCACCUUGAGAAACACUAGCACCACUCCCAUUUGCGAUGGCCACUGAAUUACCAGCCGAAGACUUAGAAGCAGGUACUGCUGCAAGUUUUAGUUCUAGGUAACCCAUUCCAAACUCUUCAUCUGUCACCCAUGAUGGCUUUCUAGAUGCCAAAGCUGCAGCAACCCCUGUAGCCAAUACUUUGAGAUCCUCUCUUUCAUCAGAUUUAAUUUUGGCAACCCUCUUCUCAAGGUUUAUUCCACUCUUCCGAGUAACUGGAAAGACACUGGAGAUCUUUGUCAAUAAAAUAAGAGCA